Molecule: ribosomal RNA, 459 nt
Filed under: uncultured bacterium
Lineage: Bacteria
Description: partial 16S ribosomal RNA
Rfam family: Bacterial small subunit ribosomal RNA
Source: RNAcentral
GAUGAACGCUGGCGGCGCGCCUAACACAUGCAAGUCGAACGGCACCCCUCCUCGGACGGACGCGUGUGGCGAACGACUGAGGAACACGUGGAGAACCUGUCCCCUCCCACGGGUUAGCCGCCCGAAACGACGGGUAAUAUCCGAUACCCCGGCGUACCGCCUGGCACUCCGACCAAAGCACCGGCGGGCGGGGAUGGCUCCGCGGCCCCUCAGGUAGACGGCGGGGUGACGGCCCACCGGGCCGACGACGGGGAGCCGGGUUGCGGGAACGACGGGCCAGAUCGGGACUGAGGCACGGCUCAGGCAUCUACGGGAGGCAGCGGUGGGGAAUCUUGCGCAAUGCGGGGAAGCGUGACACAGCGACGCCGCGUGCGGGACGGAGGCCUUGGGGUAGUAGACCGCUGUCAGCAGGGAAGAGUCAUGACUGUACCUGCAGAAGAAGCCCCGGCUAACUACGUG